Molecule: ribosomal RNA, 698 nt
Filed under: uncultured bacterium
Lineage: Bacteria
Description: bacterial SSU rRNA
Rfam family: Bacterial small subunit ribosomal RNA
Source: RNAcentral
ACGGGUGAGUAACGCGUAGGUAACCUGCCUGGUAGCGGGGGAUAACUAUUGGAAACGAUAGCUAAUACCGCAUAAUAUUAAUUAUUGCAUGAUAAUUGAUUAAAAGGUGCAAUUGCACCACUACCAGAUGGACCUGCGUUGUAUUAGCUAGUAGGUGAGGUAACGGCUCACCUAGGCGACGAUACAUAGCCGACCUGAGAGGGUGAUCGGCCACACUGGGACUGAGACACGGCCCAGACUCCUACGGGAGGCAGCAGUAGGGAAUCUUCGGCAAUGGACGAAAGUCUGACCGAGCAACGCCGCGUGAGUGAAGAAGGUUUUCGGAUCGUAAAGCUCUGUUGUAAGAGAAGAACGGGUGUGAGAGUGGAAAGUUCACACUGUGACGGUAUCUUACCAGAAAGGGACGGCUAACUACGUGCCAGCAGCCGCGGUAAUACGUAUGUCACGAGCGUUAUCCGGAUUUAUUGGGCGUAAAGCGCGUCUAGGUGGUUAUGUAAGUCUGAUGUGAAAAUGCAGGGCUUAACUCUGUAUUGCGUUGGAAACUGAAUAACUAGAGUACUGGAGAGGUAAGUGGAACUACAAGUGUAGAGGUGAAAUUCGUAGAUAUUUGUAGGAAUGCCGAUGGGGAAGCCAGCUUACUGGACAGAUACUGACGCUAAAGCGCGAAAGCGUGGGUAGCAAACAGGAUUAGAUACCCU